This 509-nucleotide ribosomal RNA is filed under the name uncultured bacterium. RNAcentral's name for it is "bacterial SSU rRNA". It matches the Rfam family "Bacterial small subunit ribosomal RNA", at positions 15 to 518 of the family's 1533-position model. The record is from RNAcentral.
GAUUAUGGCUCAGGAUGAACGCUAGCGGCAGGCUUAACACAUGCAAGUCGAGGGGCAUCGGGAGUAGCAAUACUUGCCGGCGACCGGCGCAAGGGUGCGUAACGCGUGAGCAACAUGCCCGUAUCAGGGGGAUAAUCCAUGGAAACGUGGUCUAAUACCCCAUAGUAAUUAUGUAAGGCAUCUUAUAUAAUUUAAAGCUUUGGUGGAUACGGAUUGGCUCGCGUGACAUUAGCUGGAUGGUAAGGUAACGGCUUACCAUGGCUACGAUGUCUAGGGGUUCUGAGAGGAAGGUCCCCCACACUGGAACUGAGACACGGUCCAGACUCCUACGGGAGGCAGCAGUGAGGAAUAUUGGACAAUGGAUGGAAAUCUGAUCCAGCCAUGCCGCGUGCCAGGAAGACGGCCCUAUGGGUUGUAAACUGCUUUUGUAUGGGAGCAAUAAGGGCUACGUGUAGUCCGAUGAGAGUACCAUACGAAUAAGCACCGGCUAACUCCGUGCCAGCCGCCGC